AUGAGUGUCUCCUCAAGGUUCAAGUGCUGAGAGCUUGGUUCCCAGGGUGACAUUACUUGGAACCUGUAAAAAGUUCUCAGAAUUCCUUUCUCUUCUUGGUUGUGGGGCAUGAGGCAAGCAGUUUAUCUUGACACCACAGUUCCCCACUAUGAUAUGGCACUUCACUGUUGGCCUCAAAGCAACCGAUACAAGUGGCCAUGGUCUGUAACUUCUGAAACUACAGGCCAAAGUCUGUCUUUCUGCUCCAGCUGCCAUGAAGUCAGCAGCCCUCCCUGCCACUAUUCUGCCUCAUCACAGGCACAGUCAAGUGACCACAGGCUGAAAUCUCGGAAGCCAUGAAUUAAAGCGAAAUAAAUGUGAAAUAACACCAGGAAAUUCCAUCACUUCUAGUAUCAAGAAUUUAAAAGGUGGAGAGAUGGCAAGUGUGCUUGCUGCUAGCUGACUGACAAUUUGAGCUCAGUUCCCUCGGCUCACAAGGUGGAAGGAGAGAAGUGACUCCGUAAGUUGUCUCUGACCUCCACAAACACACAGUAGUCAUACACAAACCCACAAUCAAUCAAGAUAAUUUUAAAUUUGUAAAAGUAUUUAACUAUUAAUAAAUUAACAUCACUCUUUAAAGGGUUCUAUUAAAGGGUAUUAUGCUCUAACGUA
Mastomys coucha (southern multimammate mouse) is the source of this 651-nucleotide long non-coding RNA. RefSeq lists it as uncharacterized. Lineage: Eukaryota; Metazoa; Chordata; Mammalia; Rodentia; Muridae. The record is from RefSeq and is a predicted model, not a curated record. The transcript is spliced from 3 exons.